GCUGGUGAAAUUCAAUUUCUAUUUCAGUAGAUAUCGCCAGUCGUUACGGAGAACAGGGUGCGAUUAGAAGUUGCUCAACGUUCCAAAGUGAUGUGAAAAUUGUGUCUAUUGCAUAUACAUGGUUCAAUUAAUAAUCUAUUAGCAUGAUGGCUAAUCGUUCUGAUUUUACACACGUCACUAAUUGUACUUACCGUUUUGCCGAAAGAAUAAAACUGAGGUUCACUUCACUGGUAGUAAUGCAGUUACAAAUUAUGCUAUGAAGUCAUCAAUGAAAAUAGUGAAUAUGCAGCAUACACUCCUGGGGAAAGUUGGACUCAGCCUUAUCAAAAAGGCUGAGGAUAACAAAAUCGGGAUCAAUUUUUUCAAUAGCUCGAUCGCGGAACGGAGAGGGUGAACCACGGCGGCGCUUCAGGCCAGAACGCGUCCUGCGCUCCACACAGAAAUCGCCAGAGAAAAUAAAAUUUGUCCCACUGACUUCAGAAAUGCGACUACCAUCGACGCGCCGUGUUGUUGGAAUUUGCAGUCGUUGCAUUGAAGAACAACAAAUUUUCUUACUUUUCAGCUAUUAUGUAAUACUGGCCGCAAAGUCUGACGAUAGCCAAAAGAGACGGCAGGCACGUGCGCGUCAUCGGGCUGGGCAACAUAGAGCAACAUAUGUCAACAUAUGGACAACUCGAAUUGACUAUUUAUUCCAGAACAGAUUGCGGCUUCAUCUUUUUUCAGCUUCACUAACCUAAAACAAAACCGCCUCAAGUUUUCGAAAUCGAAAAACAAAUAAAAACUGAAUGAUCACAAAAAAACCAGAACUCGACUAAGCGCGCUUCAUUGGUUCGUUACUAUGGUCAUAAAAAUAAAUGAUCUUCAUAACGGAACCUUGCGAUACACUUUACACUAUAUGUACAUCAGCUAGUAAUUUACUGUAGAAAAGUACCCACGUUCCAUGUGUAUGUUGUCGGUUCGCGAUCAAUUCAAGCAGAACGGGAAGACGUGACCGAGCGCAAAAAAAUCAGAACCAAUUAAAAAAUCAGCAAACAAGUCAGCAAUGCACAGAAACCUCCAAGAGUGUCUGAUUUCUUGACUAUGGACGGAAAUCAUAACAAGAUCG
Wyeomyia smithii (pitcher-plant mosquito) is the source of this 1105-nucleotide long non-coding RNA. RefSeq lists it as uncharacterized. NCBI's taxonomy places the organism in Eukaryota, Metazoa, Arthropoda, Insecta, Diptera, Culicidae. The transcript is spliced from 3 exons. The record is from RefSeq and is a predicted model, not a curated record.